Molecule: long non-coding RNA, 516 nt
Organism: Labeo rohita (rohu)
Lineage: Eukaryota; Metazoa; Chordata; Actinopteri; Cypriniformes; Cyprinidae
Exons: 3
Source: RefSeq, a predicted model, not a curated record
GAUGAUUGCAAACUGAAGAACAGUCCUUGGACAAAGCAUUAAACCCUCUUGGUCCCCACUACACAGACUAAUGACGUUGAAGUACCCAAAUGAAGACACUAGCAGUGUUAUUAUGGAGUAUAUGGAUACAGACGUUGGCAGCACUCAGGAGGUGUUCCAGAGGAAUCAUGGGAAUCUAUGUCAUACGAUUUGAAGGUGCAGACAUUGAAGACAGCACAGCAGAUGUUGGAGUGUUGGAAGAUAAAGUUCUUCAGGACCUUAGCAGUAAACCCUAUGAAAAAACAUGUUGCUGGGACUGAUAUAUGGACUAAACUUGAACUCCUGAAAUCAGGUACACAUUUGGAGUAUUGCAGAAGUUAUUUCUGGAGCCAGUUCCUGUUCCUGGAUUAAGGUUUGAUUGGUUACCUUUAUAUGCCAAUUAGAAAAUGACAGUAGUUUAAUAUUUCUGUAAUUUUGUAAUGUGGUUGUAACUGUAAUUGUUGCUCUUGUUUAACAAAUACACUUGAUAAUUUGUGA